AUGACCUUCCAAGUUUUAUAAAGAAGACGAUGAUGCUAUUUGCGUUUAUUUCAGUCGAACAAUUCUACUUGGCCAGCGGUGUAAAAGCUGCCGAUCGAGGUUUUUAUGGAGAAAGUGGUUCCUGCGCAGCCUUUUAAUCUUGUUACAUUCUAAGAAUGACAAGGACACUUCUAAAACAUUCUGAUUCUU
This is a small nucleolar RNA of 189 nucleotides. It matches the Rfam family "Small nucleolar RNA snR45".